AAAUUGAAGAGUUUGAUCAUGGCUCAGAUUGAACGCUGGCGGCAGGCCUAACACAUGCAAGUCGAACGGUAACAGGAAGAAGCUUGCUUCUUUGCUGACGAGUGGCGGACGGGUGAGUAAUGUCUGGGAAACUGCCUGAUGGAGGGGGAUAACUACUGGAAACGGUAGCUAAUACCGCAUAACGUCGCAAGACCAAAGAGGGGGACCUUCGGGCCUCUUGCCAUCGGAUGUGCCCAGAUGGGAUUAGCUUGUUGGUGGGGUAACGGCUCACCAAGGCGACGAUCCCUAGCUGGUCUGAGAGGAUGACCAGCCACACUGGAACUGAGACACGGUCCAGACUCCUACGGGAGGCAGCAGUGGGGAAUAUUGCACAAUGGGCGCAAGCCUGAUGCAGCCAUGCCGCGUGUAUGAAGAAGGCCUUCGGGUUGUAAAGUACUUUCAGCGGGGAGGAAGGGAGUAAAGUUAAUACCUUUGCUCAUUGACGUUACCCGCAGAAGAAGCACCGGCUAACUCCGUGCCAGCAGCCGCGGUAAUACGGAGGGUGCAAGCGUUAAUCGGAAUUACUGGGCGUAAAGCGCACGCAGGCGGUUUGUUAAGUCAGAUGUGAAAUCCCCGGGCUCAACCUGGGAACUGCAUCUGAUACUGGCAAGCUUGAGUCUCGUAGAGGGGGGUAGAAUUCCAGGUGUAGCGGUGAAAUGCGUAGAGAUCUGGAGGAAUACCGGUGGCGAAGGCGGCCCCCUGGACGAAGACUGACGCUCAGGUGCGAAAGCGUGGGGAGCAAACAGGAUUAGAUACCCUGGUAGUCCACGCCGUAAACGAUGUCGACUUGGAGGUUGUGCCCUUGAGGCGUGGCUUCCGGAGCUAAGGCGUUAAGUCGACCGCCUGGGGAGUACGGCCGCAAGGUUAAAACUCAAAUGAAUUGACGGGGGCCCGCACAAGCGGUGGAGCAUGUGGUUUAAUUCGAUGCAACGCGAAGAACCUUACCUGGUCUUGACAUCCACAGAACUUUCCAGAGAUGGAUUGGUGCCUUCGGGAACUGUGAGACAGGUGCUGCAUGGCUGUCGUCAGCUCGUGUUGUGAAAUGUUGGGUUAAGUCCCGCAACGAGCGCAACCCUUAUCCUUUGUUGCCAGCGGUCCGGCCGGGAACUCAAAGGAGACUGCCAGUGAUAAACUGGAGGAAGGUGGGGAUGACGUCAAGUCAUCAUGGCCCUUACGACCAGGGCUACACACGUGCUACAAUGGCGCAUACAAAGAGAAGCGACCUCGCGAGAGCAAGCGGACCUCAUAAAGUGCGUCGUAGUCCGGAUUGGAGUCUGCAACUCGACUCCAUGAAGUCGGAAUCGCUAGUAAUCGUGGAUCAGAAUGCCACGGUGAAUACGUUCCCGGGCCUUGUACACACCGCCCGUCACACCAUGGGAGUGGGUUGCAAAAGAAGUAGGUAGCUUAACCUUCGGGAGGGCGCUUACCACUUUGUGAUUCAUGACUGGGGUGAAGUCGUAACAAGGUAACCGUAGGGGAACCUGCGGUUGGAUCACCUCCUUA
This 1542-nucleotide ribosomal RNA is filed under the name Megamonas funiformis. RNAcentral describes it as "bacterial SSU rRNA". It matches the Rfam family "Bacterial small subunit ribosomal RNA". Lineage: Bacteria; Bacillati; Bacillota; Negativicutes; Selenomonadales; Selenomonadaceae. The record is from RNAcentral.